Molecule: ribosomal RNA, 485 nt
Filed under: uncultured bacterium
Lineage: Bacteria
Description: partial 16S ribosomal RNA
Rfam family: Bacterial small subunit ribosomal RNA
Source: RNAcentral
AUUGAACGCUGGCGGCAGGCUUAACACAUGCAAGUCGAGCGGGGAGAUGUAGCUUGCUACAUCUCCUAGCGGCGGACGGGUGAGUAAUGCUUAGGAAUCUGCCUAUUAGUGGGGGACAACAUUCCGAAAGGAAUGCUAAUACCGCAUACGCCCUACGGGGGAACGCAGGGGAUCUUCGGACCUUGCGCUCUUAGAUGAGCCUAAGUCGGAUUAGCUAGUUGGUGGGGUAAAGGCCUACCAAGGCGACGAUCUGUAGCGGGUCUGAGAGGAUGAUCCGCCACACUGGGACUGGGACACGGGCCAGACUCCUACGGGAGGCAGCAGUGGGGAAUAAUGGACAAUGGGCGCAAGCCUGAACCAGCCAAGCCGCGUGUGGGAAGAAGGCCUUUUGGUUGGAAAGGACUUUAAGCGAGGAGGAGGCUGCUUUAGUUAAUACCUAAGGAGAGUUGACGGUACUCGAAGAAUAAGCACCGGCUAACUCUGUG